UGGCUGCAGCUCUGAUUGGACCCCUAGCCUGGGAACUUCCAUAUGCUACCACACUGAGUGGGAUAAUUCAGAGGCAUUUAUUUUGCAUCAUCACCCAGGGUCUCCAAGUGGAGUUAAAUUCCAGUUUCCCUCUAUGACUUCAUUGGCUUCCUUCCUUUCCCUGUGUUACUUCCCCAAUCCCCUCUCCAUUGCUAUGUACCACUUAAAUGACUCACACUGAAUCCUUGCUUUGCUUUGGGCUGGCUUCUGGGAGAAUAUAAACUAAGACAUGGGCUUUAUAAAUUUCUUACCACACAUAUAUUAGACUACUAUAUAUCAGGUCUCCAUGUGUGUACACACCUGAGCACAUAGUUUCUCCAUCUCCAAAGUUCACGAGGAGGAGUGAUGCCACAAGGCUGUUCUCCCAUCCCAGCCUUCCAAUUGUCCAUGCAGAGGUCACAAGAGCUGGAUCAGACUGGAGGGUCUGGGGAGCUGCACUCAGAAAACAAUCAGGGGUCUAUUUGGCUGUUUGCAGGAGACACGAUCUUAACUCUUUGUCACCCCACCCUGAAAAAUACCAGUUAAUCAGUCCCAGAAAGGUGUUAGGAUUAUUCUAGGUUCCUAAACUGAGUCUUUAGCAUCUUGUGCCCUUGUGUAAUCUGUUUGAGCAGGACUGCCCCUGCAACCUCCAGGAGAACUUUCUUCUGGUUUCCAGACAUUCCUGCCUCUCCCUAUGCCCAAAAAUGCAGGGUUCAGGUGGGGGUGGGGAGGGGGCUUAUUUUUGGUGGCUGAAAUGUUGACUAAGUUAUGUCUUGCCUUAAAUACGUUGUUUCUCCCAAGGGAGCUCACAGACUAUUGGGAAAAAUCGAGGGAAAGUGAGGGAGCUGCAUCUUUGCAUGGAAAUUCUUAUCAAAAUACUUCAUUUCUACUGAGCUUUUCAUAUAUAAGGCUCCCCACUUCUUGAGUCUACUCCCUUCUGCCAUUCAUAGCGAUUCUACUCAUGGCGGUCCUCUCUGUCAACACAGUGAGUACUUAAACCUCUUGGUACGAAGUCAGGAAGCACAUGCACUGACCCAUCACAAUGGAAGCCACCUCAGCCUGUAGCAAAGUCAGUUUCUUCUGCACAGGGGGUAGGGUGUGGCAUUCAGGUAGAAGAGUCUGGGAUACCUCACGGCACUUGGGCUGGGAUUUCAAUGUGUCAGUGGAUUCUCCCUGCUUCCCCUGUCCUUCACACACCUGUCCACAGAGAUGCUGCAGGUCACCUGGGGAAUGUAGAAUUCCUUUUUUUUUUUUUUUUUAGGAGGAGAAGCUGGUGGUCUCCUAGAUGGUGUGUCAGGCUUCUCUUGCAAGCUCCUUCUCUCUGUGUGUAUAACUGCUGGCAUGGGGUUCGGUGACACAGCAAUGACUGAGCCGAUGAGACGGAGUGGAGGAGAAUCAAGUGACCUUCACAAGGGAAACUCAAUUGUCCCCUUAACAAUGGUGUCCAGUCCUUUACAAGCCAUCAUCACUUACAAAUGAUUUGGUGCCAGUGUAUUAAGUGAUAUCUGAUGACACCAGGUAUAUCAAUCAAUUCCUUGCUUUUCUGUUUUCUUCCUUUCACAGGUACUGGGACGUGCCCCUCCGCCUUCCAUACUUGGCAUCUGGGGACUUCUAAUAGGAAAUGGCACUUCAGGUGGCAGUGUGGAAAGGAAGGGGACACAGUGAAGGAACAUGGAGGAUGCUGGGUGUCAUAAGAUCCCAUAAGCUUAGAGUCCUUCAAGACCUCUGAUUUCCCCACCUGGAUAAUAAGGAUCCUGUGACUUUGGUUUUUGUAGGUUUGGGGGGAGCUUUUAAAAUUCCUCUCAGGGAGUUUCCACUGUGGCUCACUGGGUUAAGAAUCUGACUAGUAUCCAUGAGGAUGCGGGUUCGAUCCCUGGCCUUACUCAGUGGGUUAAGGAUCCGGUGUUGCCGUGAGCUGUGGUAUAGGUCACAGAUGUAGCUCAGAUCCUGUGUUGCUGUGGCUGUAUGUAGGCUGGCAGCUGCAGCUCCGAUUGGACCCCAGGCUUGGGAACUUCCAUGUGCCACAGGUGCAGCCCUAAAAA
Molecule: long non-coding RNA, 2060 nt
Filed under: Sus scrofa (pig)
Lineage: Eukaryota; Metazoa; Chordata; Mammalia; Artiodactyla; Suidae
Description: lncRNA (ENSSSCG00060031413.1)
Source: RNAcentral